This is a small nuclear RNA of Echinops telfairi (small Madagascar hedgehog), 123 nucleotides long. The record is from RefSeq and is a predicted model, not a curated record. NCBI's taxonomy places the organism in Eukaryota, Metazoa, Chordata, Mammalia, Afrosoricida, Tenrecidae.
GUCCUUUAUGAAAGGAAAGAAGGCUAGCACUCCCCUGGACAAGGCUGAAAAAGCACUUCAGGCCCAACAGUACACAUACUAUCAAAGUGUGGCUACUGAUUUCUUGGCAUCUCACCAUUGUUU